AGCCCUUCCAGAAGGUAUCCUUCUGGCAAGGGUACUGUACUAAACUAACUAAAGUGGGGGAUAGUGAGGGGAUAAAUUUUCUUAAGGAACUCGGCAAAAUCCCAAUGGCCCACCAGGGCAUAUUGGAACACGGGCCUCGACUGUUUACCAAAAACAUAGCCCUCGGCUAAUAUGAAAAUAGAUGUAUAGAGGGUGAUGCCUGCCCAAUGGUUGUAUCUAAAAGCGGUUGAUAAAAGUUGACCUCGUAAGGACAAUUGAAUGGCCGCGGUAACACUGACCGUGAUAAUGUAGCGUAAUCAAUAGCCAAUUAAUUGUUGGCCAGUAUGAAUGGCGCCACGAAGGCCCCACUGUCUUAAGGAAAUUCCCAGUGAAAUUGAAUUCGUAGUGAAGAUGCUACGUCCAAUUUGUUAGACGAAAAGACCCCGUUGAGCUUUACUGGAGCACUUACAUGGCCCCGGCCUUCCCAUGCCUGGGAACCGGCCGAAUUUAAAUGGGCGGCUUAGAUUAUGUGGCAGCCCCCCGCUGGGGCAAAUGAAACACCACUCCCCCAUGUCAAAGGGGCUAACCCCCCCCCCUUGGGGGGACAGUGUAAGUAGGACAGUUUGGUUGGGGCGACCACCUUUUAAAAAGUAACGAAGGUGCGCUUAAGGUGCGCAAUUAAUGACUGAAGCCUGACUGCGAGGGGGACACCCCGAGCAGACACCCCAAAGCCCGCCCGAAAGGCGGCGGUGGGGUGGGCCAUAGUGACCCGUUAAUUUAGAGUGGAAUAGUUAACGAUCAACGAAUAAAAGUUACCACGGGGAUAACAGCGUAAUAUCGUUAGAGAGUUCACAUCGACGACGAUGUUUGCGACCUCCAUGUUGAAUUGCGGCAUCCUGGGGUGCAGCCGCUC
Molecule: ribosomal RNA, 892 nt
Filed under: Zoanthus sansibaricus
Lineage: Eukaryota; Metazoa; Cnidaria; Anthozoa; Zoantharia; Zoanthidae
Description: partial 16S ribosomal RNA
Rfam family: Bacterial large subunit ribosomal RNA
Source: RNAcentral